This is a non-coding RNA of Potamilus streckersoni, 80 nucleotides long. Lineage: Eukaryota; Metazoa; Mollusca; Bivalvia; Unionida; Unionidae. The record is from the annotation of a GenBank genome assembly.
GACAACCUCUCCGGUAGCCUGGUGGUUAGAGCGUCCGCCUCGGAUGCGGGAGGUCGUGGGUUAUAUUCCCGGUCGAGUCA